RNAcentral lists this ribosomal RNA (497 nucleotides) under uncultured bacterium. Its description in RNAcentral is "partial 16S ribosomal RNA". It matches the Rfam family "Bacterial small subunit ribosomal RNA", at positions 28 to 507 of the family's 1533-position model. The record is from RNAcentral.
GAUGAACGCUGGCGGCGUGCCUAAUACAUGCAAGUCGAGCGAACAGACGAGGAGCUUGCUCCUGUGACGUUAGCGGCGGACGGGUGAGUAACACGUGGAUAACCUACCUAUAAGACUGGGAUAACUUCGGGAAACCGGAGCUAAUACCGGAUAAUAUAUUGAACCGCAUGGUUCAAUAGUGAAAGACGGUUUUGCUGUCACUUAUAGAUGGAUCCGCGCCGCAUUAGCUAGUUGGUAAGGUAACGGCUUACCAAGGCAACGAUGCGUAGCCGACCUGAGAGGGUGAUCGGCCACACUGGAACUGAGACACGGUCCAGACUCCUACGGGAGGCAGCAGUAGGGAAUCUUCCGCAAUGGGCGAAAGCCUGACGGAGCAACGCCGCGUGAGUGAUGAAGGUCUUCGGAUCGUAAAACUCUGUUAUUAGGGAAGAACAAAUGUGUAAGUAACUAUGCACGUCUUGACGGUACCUAAUCAGAAAGCCACGGCUAACUACGUG